AUGAUAUGCCAAAUGAGCGGGCGCCGUGACCCGAGUCGGAUGUGCACCAAGGACAUGCCUCACGAGGAUGUGGCCUACAUGGUGAACUACCUCUCGGACAGCAAGCUGCUGGAGGACUGGCAGUUCGGCAAGGAGCCGUACUCCCGCGCCAACCCCCCACCUACGAAUCCCCUCCUCCAUCCAGCAGCCGGCACCUCGGGGCCGGCCCGCAAGUUCCUUGCUGACCGGGCGGAGAGUGACGUCGACGACCCUGAUCUGGGGGCGGCGGCUUUGGAAGACGACGCCGAGGGAGGAGGCGGCUCGCGGCUCGGGGCCAGUCUAGAGGACUGGCCUAACGAUGAUGAGGAGGUCGCCCCCCGCCCCCGGCUAGGAGCCAGCCAUCCCGGCGCGGGCUCUUCUGCCGCGCCGGGUGCUCCAGGCGGCAGGAAGAAGUGUAGGGCCGUGCCGACUUUGUUCGGCAGUCGGCAGAAGAAGCCCAAGAGUUCGGCUACGGCGACCCGGUGGGACGAGGCGGCUGCGAAGGCCAUCCACUUCCGCAAGGAAGUGAAGAAGCCGCCACUGGGCUCCCCUCACUCUUGA
RNAcentral lists this ribosomal RNA (579 nucleotides) under Triticum aestivum (bread wheat). RNAcentral's name for it is "partial small subunit ribosomal RNA". Lineage: Eukaryota; Viridiplantae; Streptophyta; Magnoliopsida; Poales; Poaceae. The record is from RNAcentral.